CAGCCGCGGUAAUACGUAGGGCGCAAGCGUUGUCCGGAAUUAUUGGGCGUAAAGAGCUCGUAGGUGGUCCGCCGCGUCCGCUGUGAAAAUCCAGGGCUUAACCCUGGACCUGCAGUGGAUACGGGCGAACUAGAGGUAGGUAGGGGAGAAUGGAAUUCCCGGUGUAGCGGUGAAAUGCGCAGAUAUCGGGAGGAACACCGGUGGCGAAGGCGGUUCUCUGGGCCUUACCUGACACUGAGGAGCGAAAGCGUGGGGAGCGAACAGGAUUAGAUACCCUGGUAGUCCACGCCGUAAACGUUGGGCGCUAGGUGUGGGGUCCUUCCACGGAUUCCGUGCCGCAGCUAACGCAUUAA
RNAcentral lists this ribosomal RNA (353 nucleotides) under uncultured soil bacterium. RNAcentral describes it as "bacterial SSU rRNA". It matches the Rfam family "Bacterial small subunit ribosomal RNA", at positions 512 to 863 of the family's 1533-position model. The record is from RNAcentral.